CGGGGUGAGUAAUGUAUGGGGAUCUGCCUGAUGGGGGGGGAUAACUACUGGAAACGGUAGCUAAUACCGCAUAAUGUCUGCGGACCAAAGCGGGGGACCUCCGGGCCUCGCGCCAUCAGAUGAACCCAUAUGGGAUUAGCUAGUAGGUAAGGUAACGGCUUACCUAGGCGACGAUCCCUAGCUGGUCUGAGAGGAUGAUCAGCCACACUGGAACUGAGACACGGCCCAG
This 229-nucleotide ribosomal RNA is filed under the name uncultured bacterium. Its description in RNAcentral is "partial 16S ribosomal RNA". It matches the Rfam family "Bacterial small subunit ribosomal RNA", at positions 104 to 334 of the family's 1533-position model. The record is from RNAcentral.